Molecule: non-coding RNA, 606 nt
Organism: Poecilia reticulata (guppy)
Lineage: Eukaryota; Metazoa; Chordata; Actinopteri; Cyprinodontiformes; Poeciliidae
Source: RefSeq, a predicted model, not a curated record
UUCCCAGGACAUGUGAAGGACAGCCACAUGAUGGCAGUGCUGCAUCUGAUAUGCUACGAACGCCGAUCACCGCUACCGCGUUUCCCAGAGCGAUGCUCAGUCUCAGACAUGGAGCAGGAGAUGAUGUCAAAUAGCAGAGCAAUAAACUGACAGGAUUUCUGGCUCAAACUGACAACUCACCGCAGAGAUUAUACACAGGAGUCAGACAUGAYGCUCUCCCAGAAGCAAGAAGUUCCUCCGGCUAGCUCCAGGCUCAUUCCUGCCUGGAUCCCCGAAGGAUGGAGAACACAUUCAGACUGUGAUUCACCRCGAAAAACAAAUACAUCACAAGUGACUGGCUCUGCAUAACUCUGUCAAAAAACACCAGGAGAUUUGUUCCUGAGUUUGUUGUGAACAGCAGAGCUGAACUCCAUCUCCCCAUCUCAGAAACUGCAGCUGCUCAAAUCCAACACCCAGCCAGACAGAAAACUCAGAACAAUCAGUUAUUGACAUAUAAUUUGUACAAGUGUGUCCUUUUUCCAAAAUAUUAGUUUCUUUACUUGAUUUAAGUUCAGCAAGAAGAAACUUGGGUAAGUUUAAAUUGUUUAUUAUCCUUUUUUGCUGCAG